UUUUUGAUGUAGGCAUUUAACGCUAUGUCAGUGGAUAAAAGUCCCCCAAUAGUAUUGCAUUGCUGUCUAUCUCAUCUCUUAGGUCUAAUAAUAAUUGUUUUUAUAAAUUUGGGAGCUUCAGUAUUGGGUGCAUAUAUAUUUGGGAUUGUGAUACUUUCCUGUUGGACUAGGCCUUUUAUCAUUAUGUAAUGUGCCUCUUUGUCUUUUUUAACUGCUGUUGCUUUUAAGUUUGUUUUGUCUGAUACAAGAAUAGCUACUCCUGCUUGCUUUUGGUGUCCAUUUGCAUGGAAUAUAUUUUUCUACCCCUUUACCUUAAGUUUAUGUGAAUCCUUAUGUGUCAGGUGAGUCUCUUGGAAACAGCAGAUAUUUGUUUGCUGAAUUCUCAACCAUUCUGCCAUUCUGUGUCUUUUCUUUUUCCUUUUAAUUGCAUUUAUUUUAAUGCUGAAUUUACUCCCAUGCCAUAAGUUUUUGUUUCAUCAGUUUCUUCUGGGAUAUCUUUUUCUUCUGGGCA
This 511-nucleotide long non-coding RNA is filed under the name Homo sapiens (human). RNAcentral's name for it is "HSALNT0108988". The record is from RNAcentral. Lineage: Eukaryota; Metazoa; Chordata; Mammalia; Primates; Hominidae.